AGAGUUUGAUCCUGGCUCAGGAUGAACGCUGGCGGCGUGCCUAAUACAUGCAAGUCGAACGCAUCUUCUUCGGAAGAUGAGUGGCGAACGGGUGAGUAAUACAUAGGUAACCUGCCCCUGUGCCCGGGAUAACUUCUGGAAACGGAUGCUAAAACCGGAUAGGUAGCAGACAAGCAUUUGACUGCUAUUAAAGUGGCUUUGGCCAUGAACAUGGAUGGACCUGCGGUGCAUUAGCUAGUUGGUGAGGUAACGGCCCACCAAGGCAACAAUGCAUAGCCGGCCUGAGAGGGCGGACGGCCACAUUGGGACUGAGACACGGCCCAAACUCCUACGGGAGGCAGCAGUAGGGAAUUUUCGUCAAUGGGGGGAACCCUGAACGAGCAAUGCCGCGUGAGUGAGGAAGGUCUUCGGAUCGUAAAGCUCUGUUGUAAGAGAAAAACGGCACUCAUAGGGAAUGAUGAGUGAGUGAUGGUAUCUUACCAGAAAGUCACGGCUAACUACGUGCCAGCAGCCGCGGUAAUACGUAGGUGGCGAGCGUUAUCCGGAAUGAUUGGGCGUAAAGGGUGCGUAGGUGGCAGAUCAAGUCUGGAGUAAAAGGUAUGGGCUCAACCCGUACUUGCUCUGGAAACUGAUCAGCUAGAGAACAGAAGAGGACGGCGGAACUCCAUGUGUAGCGGUAAAAUGCGUAGAUAUAUGGAAGAACACCGGUGGCGAAGGCGGCCGUCUGGUCUGGAUACUGACACUGAAGCGCGAAAGCGUGGGGAGCAAAUAGGAUUAGAUACCCUAGUAGUCCACGCCGUAA
This 802-nucleotide ribosomal RNA is filed under the name uncultured bacterium. Its description in RNAcentral is "bacterial SSU rRNA". It matches the Rfam family "Bacterial small subunit ribosomal RNA", at positions 8 to 805 of the family's 1533-position model. The record is from RNAcentral.